GUUUCUUUUCUCUUUUUACAUUUUCACCAUACAAUGGAAAGGUCUCAUACUGAAUGCACAUACAUACAUACAAUCUCCAUGCUGAUCACUUUCCAUGCAUCAGAGGGGGAAAAACAUCUCACUCACACACUCACACACUCACACACUCACACACUCACACACUCACACACUCACUCAUAAGAAUGAUUGAAAGAAGCUACCAGGCUCAGAUAGCUGAUAAUAAAGAUUAAACGCCGAGCCCGAAUGCACGUGUAAAGAAAUAAAUAAAUAAAAAUAUACACUGAUCCUGUAUCAGGCAUAAUGAUACUCUUUCAGGAAAAAAAGGGUACUAACUGUACCUUUUCAUGUCGAUGUGACGGUACCGUUAAGCAUAUGACUUUUAUAGGUAGCGUACGUACGCUAAAAAAAAACAUCAUGCGUGAUCUCGCAGCUUCGAUGAGCUUUGAGAGCGGGUACACUUCAGACAUAUCCACGGAGAAGACGAGUACUAAAGGUACCACCCCAGUCACGAGAAAUGGUACUUAGUUUAGUACCCUACUAUAACCUCGAUCCGCUGUGUUAAAAACUAAGGCAAACGAGUGUAAGCCACCGCAGUGAGAUUAAAAACACAGAAAUACACAAACGUCCAGAUCAGGGGUGCCAAAACAAACAAACACACACGGAAUUUAUCUGUAAUCAUUUAUACGAAAUGUACACAAUUUCUGAACGCACAAACAGAUCACCACCUAGAUACAGGAUAUCUGCGUAAGUAUUCACCCCCCCCCCCUUCUAUGUUAUGUAGAACAUCUGGGUCUGAAAUGGACAUCCCAUAAUAUAAAAUUCAGCUAUAGGGAGGAACAAGACGAGGAUUCGGAUCCAUGGGCCGUUUGGAAUGAAUGGAUUCGUUCGUAACGCAGAUGAAAAUUCGACAUCGUUAUCAUUUGUGAAUUAGAUUCAUACGUACUGCAGAUUCGGAACAGCGCUGGUCAAGUAUCGAUAACGCCCCCUAGUGGAAUAUCAGAGCUCCUUCUUUGAGCACAAUUACAAUCGGCAUUUCGAUUUUAAACUUGAUGGAGGCGAUUAGACAUGUUUGACACCCCUGAUCUACAUCAUUCAAAACCUGGACCUGGAUGACUGAAUUGGAUGAGUCGAGUGCAAAAGUUUGUGCCCCCGUGGUUUUUCAGCGUAAAAAAAUCCGUCCAUUUUCCUACACAGGGUCACGGAGAGCCUGGAGCCUAUCCCAGGGGACUUGAGGGAACGAGGUGGGGUGCCAACCAAUCACAGGGCACAAUCACACACACUACGGAUAAUGUAGAGAUUAUGUACAGAAUGUACAGCACAUGUCUUUGGACCAGGGGAGGAAACCGGAGUACCUGGAGGAAACCCUCAAGGCAACGGGGAUAACAUGAUAGGAAACUCCACACGCACAGGGCAGAGAUGGGAUUCGAACCCCCAACCCUGGAGGUGUCUUCUUUUUCUCAACUGUUUUAUUUGUACAUGUUGUAGUAUUUUUCAAAUAUAUAUAUCAUAAUCAUGUCAGUCGAGAAGAUUUUUCACUUUGAUCCAACACUCUUGACGAAAAAUAAAAGGGUACCAAACAGAACCUUUUGCUGUCACUCAGCUACCUGUAUAUUUCAGUACCUCAUUUGAUGCAUCUUUAAAACUAAACUUAAGAUGGACGACGCAUAAAUUUCACAUAAUUAGCCUUUUUAGAGUAAGGCUUUAGUAGAAGAUCCAUACUACAUGUGAAAAAGGAAAGGGUACUACACCAAGGAUCAAGGAACAGUACCGUUCAGUACUCUUUUUUUGUUUCUCUAGAGUGUGGAGCAAACAAAAAACAUGAAUCAAAAUCGAAACCCGACCCGAAGCAGAGUUUCGCUAGAAGCACAAACAUCACUGAUAAAAUGGAAGAGCGAGAACGAAGAUGCUGUGAAACCUAGAACACAAGGGUGCACAAGCUUUGCACUCACUCGCUCGCUCAUAACCAUAACCUCUCAUCCACAUACUCCAAAAAAAAAAAAACAACCCAAAACAAACACACAAACGAAGAACAAUUUAAAAAAUGGCACUUAAAUGAUGAAAAUUUUGCAUAAAGUCUAAAAUCAUAUAAAAAUAAACAGAGUACAGAUCAUUUCUCCUGGACAUGAGGAUCAGUCGGUUAUUCGCACAGAGGUAUUCAUUAAGAACUCACACACACACACACACACACACACACGCACGCGCGCGCACACACACACACACACAACUGUGGGAAACCUGAUUGUUUGUUGGGAAACCUACAGCACGAGCUGGGAAGGAUGUUACGAGGAAAAAAUGAUGGAAAAGAUGACAGUUGUAUAAAAAAGUCCAACACUAGUGCAUAUAAGUUACAUUAGUACACCAGCUGUAUCUAAGACUAUUUCUAACACAAUUACACCACAGACUGUACAGUAAACCACACACACACUCUCUCACACAGCUAGUCGGUAUUGCUCUACUACUUACUACACACUUGGUAUUUUACGCUUUACACUAGAUUACGUACACAGUGACGCUCUUUUCGACAUUCUUUAGCUUUUUCGCUAACAAGCUCCAGAUCACGUUCAAAAUUUCACUACACACUGAACCUGAAGAGCAGGACUCUUUCAUUUUAAUCAGUACCUGAUAUCAGAGGUGUGUGUGUGUGUGUGUGAGACUGUUGUCGUUUAACUCCUGCUCUUGUUUUACAUACAUUUUCAUACUUCUUCUUCUUCUUCUUAUUAUUAUUAUUAUUAUUAUUAUUAUUAUUAUUAUUAUGACGCCAUUAUAUUAGAUUAGAUCUAACAUUUUUGUUAUUUGUUCCAAACGCAUUCGGUUCUAUUUCCCAAAAAUAUUAAUAAAGUCUUUUUAUUUUUUCAUCUAUUUUUUU
Long non-coding RNA from Ictalurus punctatus (channel catfish), 2866 nucleotides. The record is from Ensembl. Lineage: Eukaryota; Metazoa; Chordata; Actinopteri; Siluriformes; Ictaluridae.